This 445-nucleotide ribosomal RNA is filed under the name uncultured bacterium. RNAcentral describes it as "bacterial SSU rRNA". It matches the Rfam family "Bacterial small subunit ribosomal RNA", at positions 958 to 1398 of the family's 1533-position model. The record is from RNAcentral.
AACGCGAAGAACCUUACCCAGGCUUGACAUUCAGAGGAAGUGUGCAGAAACGUACACGCCGGGGCAACUCGGCCUUUGGACAGGUGCUGCAUGGCUGUCGUCAGCUCGUGCCGUGAGGUGUUAGGUUAAGUCCUGCAACGAGCGCAACCCUCAUCUUUAGUUGCCAGCGGGUUAAGCCGGGCUCUCUAAAGAAACUGCCGCUGAUAAGGCGGAGGAAGGUGGGGAUGACGUCAAGUCAGCAUGGCCCUUACGUCUGGGGCUACACACGUGCUACAAUGGGGGGUACAACGGGAAGCCAAGGAGCGAUCUGGAGCGAAUCCCACAAAACCCUCCUCAGUUCAGAUUGUAGGCUGCAACUCGCCUACAUGAAGGCGGAAUCGCUAGUAACCGCAGAUCAGCACUGCUGCGGUGAAUACGUUCCCGGGCCUUGUACACACCGGAGUGC